GAGUUUGAUCCUGGCCAGGAUGAACGCUAGCGGCAGGCUUAACACAUGCAAGUCGAGGGGUAUAUGUCUUCGGAUAUAGAGACCGGCGCACGGGUGCGUAACGCGUAUGCAAUCUACCUUUUACAGGGGGAUAGCCCAGAGAAAUUUGGAUUAAUACCCCAUAGUAUACAGAGUUGGCAUCAGCCUUGUAUUAAAGUCACAACGGUAAAAGAUGAGCAUGCGUCCCAUUAGCUAGUUGGUAAGGUAACGGCUUACCAAGGCUACGAUGGGUAGGGGUCCUGAGAGGGAGAUCCCCCACACUGGUACUGAGACACGGACCAGACUCCUACGGGAGGCAGCAGUGAGGAAUAUUGGACAAUGGGCGCAAGCCUGAUCCAGCCAUGCCGCGUGCAGGAUGACGGUCCUAUGGAUUGUAAACUGCUUUUGUACGAGAAGAAACACUGCUUCGUGAAGCAGCUUGACGGUAUCGUAAGAAUAAGGAUCGGCUAACUCCGUGCCAGCAGCGCGGUAA
RNAcentral lists this ribosomal RNA (511 nucleotides) under uncultured Flavobacterium sp. Its description in RNAcentral is "bacterial SSU rRNA". It matches the Rfam family "Bacterial small subunit ribosomal RNA", at positions 9 to 523 of the family's 1533-position model. Lineage: Bacteria; Pseudomonadati; Bacteroidota; Flavobacteriia; Flavobacteriales; Flavobacteriaceae. The record is from RNAcentral.